This is a long non-coding RNA of Polypterus senegalus (gray bichir), 1033 nucleotides long. RefSeq lists it as uncharacterized. The record is from RefSeq and is a predicted model, not a curated record. NCBI's taxonomy places the organism in Eukaryota, Metazoa, Chordata, Cladistia, Polypteriformes, Polypteridae. The transcript is spliced from 6 exons.
UUGUAAUAAAAACCCGCCCAAGAAAUUUUUCUGUCUCUUUGUCGCAGGUCGUCCUCGAAGGAGGGUGUGUGAGAGAGAGAGAAAUUAUAAUGAAACGCCAGUGCUUUCCCAGUUCUGCCAUAUUUGGUCCAGGACUGGUCUACAGCCAAACUGAAUACUCCUGAAGAAGAUGAACACCAAACUUGAAUAACGUAACCCAACUAUUACCCUAGGAUAGCAUGUUCCUGCAGGAAGAGGUGCUGCAUUAUCCAAACCAGACAUCCCAGGUCUUACAGUGACUAAGGAACUGAUGCCUUACUAGACAACACUGGGACAAUACCAGGAGAACCCAUCUCAGCUGUUUGAGGGUUGGAGAGUAUACCGACUGUGGUUUCUAUCAGCUUUUUACCAGCUGUUCAGUGCUUUGAUUUUUUUUUUUUUUUCAAAUUUUUCCUUGUACUUGCAAGAGCCCUACCAUGCCCAGAUCAAAAGAGAUUCCUGAAGAACAACGGAAAAAGGUUAUUGAGGCGUACCAAUCUGGGCAGGGGUAUAAAACAAUUUCUAAAGAUUUGGGACUUCAGCGAACCACAGUCAGAAGCAUUGUUGACAAAUGGAAAAAAUAUGGAACUACAAUGAAUCUUCCUAAAAGUGGCCGUCCUGCCAAAAUCACUCUAGGUGGGAUUAAUAAAAUAAUCCAGGAAGUUAAAGCAAACCCCCAUAAAACAUCUAAAGAUCUACAGGCUGCCCUUGCCUUGGAUAAAAUCUGUGUUCAUGACUCUACAAUAAGGAGGACGGUCUCUAAAGAGAGGAUUCUUGGGAGUGAAUUGCCACCAAAACCAUCCACCACAAGGGAAAGUGCCAGAGAGCCUAAAUCUAUAUGAUGGUCUAUUGUGUACAUAGGGACCAACAUGUUUUCUUAGUGCUUCAUUUUCUGCUUAAUGUAAAUUGCUUUCAGUUCUUGUGAGCUAAAACUAGGCAUAAGAUUUUGCUGUAUUAUGGUCGUAUUUGUCAUUUGAAAUAACCAUUUAAUAAAAUCUUCACCUGUACUUAUUUU